AGAGUUUGAUCAUGGCUCAGAUUGAACGCUGGCGGAAUGCUUUACACAUGCAAGUCGAGCGGCAGCGCGGUCUUCGGACUGGCGGCGAGCGGCGAACGGGUGAGUAAUACAUCGGAACAUGCCCAGUCGUGGGGGAUAACACUUCGAAAGAAGUGCUAAUACCGCAUACGUCCUGAGGGAGAAAGCGGGGGAUCGCAAGACCUCGCGCGAUUGGAGUGGCCGAUGUCAGAUUAGCUAGUUGGUGGGGUAAAGGCCUACCAAGGCAACGAUCUGUAGCUGGUCUGAGAGGAUGAUCAGCCACACUGGGACUGAGACACGGCCCAGACUCCUACGGGAGGCAGCAGUGGGGAAUUUUGGACAAUGGGGGCAACCCUGAUCCAGCCAUUCCGCGUGAGUGAAGAAGGCCUUCGGGUUGUAAAGCUCUUUCGGCAGGAACGAAACGGCGAGCUCUAACAUAGCUCGCUAAUGACGGUACCUGAAGAAGAAGCACCGGCUAACUAC
Molecule: ribosomal RNA, 501 nt
Filed under: uncultured bacterium
Lineage: Bacteria
Description: bacterial SSU rRNA
Rfam family: Bacterial small subunit ribosomal RNA
Source: RNAcentral